UUAUUUCACGUGUAGGGGUAAAAUCCGUAGAGAUGUGAAGGAACCCCUUUUUUUUCUGGCUAGGCAGAAGGCGCCUGCCUGGAUGAUUAUUGACGCUGAGGCGCGAAAGCGUGGGGAGCAAACAGGAUUAGAUACCCUGGUAGUCCACGCCGUAAACGAUGAGCACUAGUUAUUGGAGGUAUUGACUCCUUCAGUGACGCAGCUAACGCAUUAAGUGCUCCGCCUGGGAAGUACGGUCGCAAGACUAAAACUCAAACAAAUUGACGGGGGCCCGCACAAGCGGUGGAUUAUGUGGUUUAAUUCGAAGCAACGCGCAGAACCUUACCUAGGCUUGAACUCCUACGAAUCCGGGGUAAUGCCUGGAGUGUCCGCAAGGAAAUGUAGUGAGAGGUGCUGCAUGGCUGUCGUCAGCUCGUGUUGUGAAAUGUUGGGUUAAGUCUCGCAACGAGCGCAACCCCUAUCGUCUGUUGCCAGCAUUAAGUUGGGCACUCUGACGAGACUGCCUGGGUUAACCAGGAGGAAGGUAGGGAUGACGUCAAGUCCUCAUGGCCCUUAUGUCUAGGGCUACACACGUAAUACAAUGGCGCGUACAGAGGGAAGCGAACUCGCGAGGGGGAGCAAAUCUCAAAAAGCGCGUCUCAGUCCGGAUUGGAGUCUGCAACUCGACUCCAUGAAGUUGGAAUCGCUAGUAAUCGGAGAUCAGCACGCUCCGGUGAAUACGUUCCCGGGCCUUAUUACUAUUUCAUUUUAAAACGGCCCGUCACACCAUGGGAGUUGUUUUCAUUUUAAGACGUGACUAA
Molecule: ribosomal RNA, 800 nt
Filed under: uncultured Peredibacter sp.
Lineage: Bacteria; Pseudomonadati; Bdellovibrionota; Bacteriovoracia; Bacteriovoracales; Bacteriovoracaceae
Description: bacterial SSU rRNA
Rfam family: Bacterial small subunit ribosomal RNA
Source: RNAcentral